RNAcentral lists this ribosomal RNA (585 nucleotides) under uncultured bacterium. Its description in RNAcentral is "partial 16S ribosomal RNA". It matches the Rfam family "Bacterial small subunit ribosomal RNA", at positions 355 to 1375 of the family's 1533-position model. The record is from RNAcentral.
UGGGGAAUUUUGGACAAUGGGCGAAAGCCUGAUCCAGCAAUGCCGCGUGUGUGAAGAAGGCCUUCGGGUUGUAAAGCACUUUUGUCCGGAAAGAAAUCCUUGGCUCUAAUACAGUCGGGGGAUGACGGUACCGGAAGAAUAAGCACCGGCUAACUACGUGCCAGCAACCGCGGUAAUACGUAGGGUGCAAGCGUUAAUCGGAAUUACUGGGCGUAAAGCGUGCGCAGGCGGUUUGCUAAGACCGAUGUGAAAUCCCCGGGCUCAACCUGGGAACUGCAUUGGUGACUGGCAGGCUAGAGUAUGGCAGAGGGGGGUAGAAUUCCACGUGUAGCAGUGAAAUGCGUAGAGAUGUGGAGGAAUACCGAUGGCGAAGGCAGCCCCCUGGGCCAAUACUGACGCUCAUGCACGAAAGCGUGGGGAGCAAACAGGAUUAGAUACCCUGGUAGUCCACGCCCUAAACGAUGUCAACUAGUUGUUGGGGAUUCAUUUCCUUAGUAACGUAGCUAACGCGUGAAGUUGACCGCCUGGGGAGUACGGUCGCAAGAUUAAAACUUAAAUGAAUUGACGGGGUCAUAGCUGUUUCCU